RNAcentral lists this ribosomal RNA (253 nucleotides) under uncultured bacterium. RNAcentral describes it as "partial 16S ribosomal RNA". It matches the Rfam family "Bacterial small subunit ribosomal RNA", at positions 524 to 776 of the family's 1533-position model. The record is from RNAcentral.
UACGAAGGGAGCUAGCGUUGUUCGGAAUCACUGGGCGUAAAGCGCACGUAGGCGGAUUUGUCAGUCAGGGGUGAAAUCCCGGAGCUCAACUUCGGAACUGCCUUUGAUACAGCACAUCUGGAGUCCGGAAGAGGUGGGUGGAAUUCCUAGUGUAGAGGUGAAAUUCGUAGAUAUUAGGAAGAACACCGGUGGCGAAGGCGGCCCACUGGUCCGGUACUGACGCUGAGGUGCGAAAGCGUGGGGAGCAAACAGG